This 445-nucleotide ribosomal RNA is filed under the name uncultured bacterium. RNAcentral's name for it is "partial 16S ribosomal RNA". It matches the Rfam family "Bacterial small subunit ribosomal RNA", at positions 330 to 792 of the family's 1533-position model. The record is from RNAcentral.
GCCAGACUCCUACGGGAGGCAGCAGUGGGGAAUAUUGCACAAUGGGGGAAACCCUGAUGCAGCAACGCCGCGUGAGUGAAGAAGUCAUUCGUGAUGUAAAGCUCUAUCAGCAGGGAAGAAAAUGACGGUACCUGAGUAAGAAGCCCCGGCUAACUACGUGCCAGCAGCCGCGGUAAUACGUAGGGGGCAAGCGUUAUCCGGAUUUACUGGGUGUAAAGGGGGCGCAGACGGCAGCGCAAGCCAGGAGUGAAAGCCCGGGGCCCAACCCCGGGACUGCUCUUGGAACUGCGCGGCUGGAGUGCAGGAGGGGCAGGCGGAAUUCCUGGUGUAGCGGUGAAAUGCGUAGAUAUCAGGAGGAACACCGGUGGCGAAGGCGGCCCGCUGGACUGCGACUGACGUUGAGGCCCGAAAGCGUGGGGAGCAAACAGGAUUAGAUACCCUAGUA